Molecule: transfer-messenger RNA, 368 nt
Filed under: Thermogemmatispora argillosa
Lineage: Bacteria; Bacillati; Chloroflexota; Ktedonobacteria; Thermogemmatisporales; Thermogemmatisporaceae
Rfam family: transfer-messenger RNA
About the family: Bacterial tmRNA, also known as 10Sa RNA or SsrA, is named for its dual tRNA and mRNA-like properties. Its role is to liberate the mRNA from a stalled ribosome.
Source: RNAcentral
GGGGAUGUCGGGUUUCGACAGACAAGCUGUUGAAAGGAUUGCAGGCCGAGGUGCCGGUACGCUCUCUCGUUAAACAACCGGCGAAAAAAUAACUGCCAACAAGGCGAAUUACUCCUACGCUCUCGCCGCUUAAUUAGGCGAGCGUCGUCCCUCUGACCUUUGCCUGUGGGGUCAGAUGCGGGCGUCGACGACAUGGGCUGCGAUGCCGAUGACCACCCUCUAGUCGGCGUCUAAGACCAGAGGGUCAGCGCUGAGGAAUCCUGUCGGUGGGAGUCCUCUGCGUGUAGGCAAUACACCGACUAAGCCUGUAGGAUAUCCUUUAACAGGUUUGCCUGGACGGGGAGUUCGACUCUCCCCCAUCUCCACCA